GUCCACGCCGUAACGAUGAAUACUAGGUGUUGGGUUCAUAAGAAGCUCGGUGCCGGCGCAAACGCAUUAAGUAUUCCACCUGGGAGUACGUUCGCAAGAAUGAACUCAAAGGAAUUGACGGGGACCCGCACAAGCGGUGGAGCAUGUGGUUUAAUUCGAAGCAACGCGAAGAACCUUACCAAGUCUUGACAUCCCGUUGACCUGUUAUGUAAUGUAACAUCUCUUCGGAGCAACGGAGACAGGUGGUGCAUGGUUGUCGU
This 260-nucleotide ribosomal RNA is filed under the name uncultured bacterium. Its description in RNAcentral is "partial 16S ribosomal RNA". It matches the Rfam family "Bacterial small subunit ribosomal RNA", at positions 793 to 1055 of the family's 1533-position model. The record is from RNAcentral.